This 87-nucleotide transfer RNA is filed under the name Streptomyces sp. RNAcentral describes it as "tRNA-OTHER". Lineage: Bacteria; Bacillati; Actinomycetota; Actinomycetes; Kitasatosporales; Streptomycetaceae. The record is from RNAcentral.
GACGCCCAGUGGUAGCGCAACAGGCGAGGAGCGACCGACCAGCCCAGCUGCUCGGUGAGGAUGCUGGUUCGAGUCCAGCCCACGUCG